This 254-nucleotide ribosomal RNA is filed under the name uncultured bacterium. Its description in RNAcentral is "partial 16S ribosomal RNA". It matches the Rfam family "Bacterial small subunit ribosomal RNA", at positions 524 to 776 of the family's 1533-position model. The record is from RNAcentral.
UACGGGGGGAGCAAGCGUUGUUCGGAUUUACUGGGCGUAAAGGGCGCGUAGGCGGCCACCGCAAGUCGACUGUGAAAUUUCGGGGCUCAACCCCGAACUUGCAGUGGGUACGGGCAGACUAGAGUGUGGUAGGGGAGACUGGAAUUCCUGGUGUAGCGGUGAAAUGCGCAGAUAUCAGGAGGAACACCGAUGGCGAAGGCAGGUCUCUGGGCCAUAACUGACGCUGAGAAGCGAAAGCAUGGGGAGCGAACAGG